AUGCUAACUGUUUUCCACCUGCCUGGGUCCCUGCCUUGUCCAGGGACCCCCCUGAAGGGGUUUGUCUUUGAAGUCAUGGAACUCAUUCACAGCCUGAAGGCACUUCAGCUGGGAAGAGCCGGCCAUCCUGCUCCAGAUGUUUUGAUCCAGCUGAUCCCAAACAGCGCCAGAACAGCGAAUCUUCCCUCAGCCUCUUCCCCUGAGACCUUGGGCCAAGCACUCAGUGUAAUUCGUGCCUGGACUGACCUGCGACUGCUUAUCCCAGUGGUCAUCCCAAGCCUGGGCAACAGAGUGAAACUCCAUCUCAAAAAAAAGAAAAAGAAGAGAAAGUUGGCAGGAACAGAGACAGAAGUAAAGGGCAGAGAAUGUUCAGAGAAACGGUGUCCACCACAAACGGCUCACUAGUGACCAAGCACCCUAUUACCAGCACCCAGCUCACGGCCCGGCUGCACCAGGAAUCCCGUUUGCCGGUAUUCACCCAAGCAGCACGCCCUGUAAAACCUCCCCCUGGCCCCUGCCACUUGGCAGAAAGGUCUUCCUCUUCUGUGUUGCCCGCCGCUCCCUUGCAACGUAUAUCCCCUUUUUCUCUAAUAAAUCUGCCUUUCUGAACUCAUUCCUGUCUUGGUAAAUUCUUUACCACCUGUGUGCCAGCCUCAGGCAGUUGUUGACCAGAGCAAUUCCUAUAUCCCCCCGUUGCCGGUA
RNAcentral lists this long non-coding RNA (702 nucleotides) under Cebus imitator (Panamanian white-faced capuchin). RNAcentral's name for it is "lncRNA (ENSCCAG00000038256.1)". Lineage: Eukaryota; Metazoa; Chordata; Mammalia; Primates; Cebidae. The record is from RNAcentral.